UAUUUUAUAUAUGAGCCAUUGAGUUGGUUGUACCUUGAAAUAAGGUACACAUCUUCAUUAAGCUUAAAGAAGUCUUUUUGGUAGUUAAAUAUCUACUUUCUUCAGGCAAUUGAAAUCGGUCAUAUCCAAAAUAUAAAUUUUUAAUAGAAUAGAUGGCAUGACUUACAAAUUGCUUAAUUAUAAAUCAUAAAUCAAAUCCUUAUAAAAUCCUAAAUCCUAAACCAAAUCCUAAAUAAAUCUUAAAUCUUAAAUCAAAUCCUAAACCAAAUUCUAAACAAAUCCUAACCAAAUCUUAAAGUCUAAAUCAAAUUCCAAUCAAAACUUAAAUCCUAAAUCAAAUCCUAACCAAUCUUAAAUCUUUUAAAUCAAACCCUACAUAAAUCCUAACCAAACCAUAAACAAAUUCUAAAUCCAAAAUCCAAAAUUCUAAAACCUCAAACUCUAACCAAAUCCUAAAUCCUAAACCAAAUCCUAAUCAAAUAAUAAAUCUCUAGUCAAAUCCUAACCUUGAUAUUUUUUUUAUUAGACCAUUGUUCUUAUUUAAAAUUUUAUACACCUCUCAACUUCUUAGUUAUAAAUAAGUACAAAAACUUUGAAGACAAUUCCACUUAUUAAAUGAAAGAAAAAUCCUAAAUCUACUCGGAUUUUGGCUGGCCUCCUCCUCCAACCUUAAUAUUGAUCUUCUAGUACUUAUAUCUCUCUUUUGUAUUAUUAAAUUGAUAUCAAAUUUCUUGUAUAUGUAUAAAAAAAAAAAAAAAAAAAAAAAAAAAUCUACUAUCCAUAUACAUAACUUUCACUCCAAUCCAAAUGGUAGAUUAUAAGAAAUCUUAGAAACCCUCACUAGACCUAAAAUUCUAC
This 858-nucleotide long non-coding RNA is filed under the name Physcomitrium patens. Its description in RNAcentral is "long non-coding RNA (PPAT_LNC012894)". The record is from RNAcentral. Lineage: Eukaryota; Viridiplantae; Streptophyta; Bryopsida; Funariales; Funariaceae.